CUACGGGAUGCAGCCGAGGAAAUUUUUCAAUGCACGCAAGUGUGAACGAGUGAGCCAGAGUGUUACCUUCAAGGUAACUUUUCUUUGCUGUAAAAAGGCAGAGGAAUAAGGACUGGGCAAGACCGGUGCCAGCCGCCGCGGUAAUCCCGGCGGUCCAAGUCGCAUCCACAUUUAUUAGGUCUAAAACAUCCGUAGCUUGUUCUAAAAGUCUCUUGUGAAAUCAGACAUCUCAAGUGUCUGGCGUGCAAGAGAUACUAUAGAACUUAUUGAGACCGGAAGACGUAAAGAGUACGAUCAAGGUAAUGGUAAAAUAUAUUAAUCUUGAUCGGACUAACAGUGGCGAAGGCGCUUUACGAGUACGGACCUGACAGUGAGGGAUGAAGGCUAGGGGCGCAAAAGGGAUUAGAUACCCUGGUAGUC
Molecule: ribosomal RNA, 420 nt
Filed under: uncultured archaeon
Lineage: Archaea
Description: partial 16S ribosomal RNA
Rfam family: Archaeal small subunit ribosomal RNA
Source: RNAcentral